This 330-nucleotide ribosomal RNA is filed under the name uncultured bacterium. RNAcentral describes it as "bacterial SSU rRNA". It matches the Rfam family "Bacterial small subunit ribosomal RNA", at positions 568 to 898 of the family's 1533-position model. The record is from RNAcentral.
CGCGUAGGCGGACAGUUUAGUCAGAGGUGAAAGCCCAGGGCUCAACCUUGGAACUGCCUUUGAUACUGGCUGUCUUGAGUUCGGGAGAGGUGUGUGGAACUCCGAGUGUAGAGGUGAAAUUCGUAGAUAUUCGGAAGAACACCAGUGGCGAAGGCGACACACUGGCCCGAUACUGACGCUGAGGCGCGAAAGCGUGGGGAGCAAACAGGAUUAGAUACCCUGGUAGUCCACGCUGUAAACGAUGAGUGCUAGUUGUCGGCAUGCAUGCAUGUCGGUGACGCAGCUAACGCAUUAAGCACUCCGCCUGGGGAGUACGGUCGCAAGAUUAAA